This is a long non-coding RNA of Drosophila miranda, 243 nucleotides long. RefSeq lists it as uncharacterized. The record is from RefSeq and is a predicted model, not a curated record. Lineage: Eukaryota; Metazoa; Arthropoda; Insecta; Diptera; Drosophilidae. The transcript is spliced from 3 exons.
GAGUACGGCUCCUACUCCAUAAUGUGAGGCGUCGCACUGGCGUCUGUGAGCGGACCGGCCAUCUCAGCAUAGUUUUUCAUAAAGCGCCGGUACCAGCCCGCAGUUCCCAGGAAAAUACGCAAUUCUCGAACAGAUCGCGGCUCGGGAAUGCGCAAAAUGGCCGACACACGAUCCGGAUCCAUCUUCAGCGCUCCUCCUCCCACUAUAAAUCCCAGACGCUCGGCAACCUGUCGCAGAAUCUUC